CCAGCAGCCGCGGUAAUUCCAGCUCCAAUAGCAUAUACUAAAGUUGUUGCAGUUAAAAAGCUCGUAGUUGAAGUUCUGGCUGUUCGGUCCUCGUGCUUUGUAGCCGAGGAAUCGACAGUCAUCCGCUUGCAAAUAUAUGUUCUCCUUUAACCGGGAGGCUAUAUGAGUAAGCAUUUUACCUUGAGAAAAACAGAGUGUUCCAGGCAGGUAUGUCCGGAAUGCGUUAGCAUGGAAUAAUAGAAUAUGACUGAAGUCGAUUUAUUGGUUUGAGGCUUUAGUAAUGAUUAAUAGGAACAGUCGGGGGCAUUGGUACUUGACAGUCAGAGGUGAAAUUCUAGGAUUUG
RNAcentral lists this ribosomal RNA (344 nucleotides) under uncultured eukaryote. RNAcentral's name for it is "SSU rRNA". It matches the Rfam family "Eukaryotic small subunit ribosomal RNA", at positions 567 to 928 of the family's 1831-position model. The record is from RNAcentral.